AGCAGCCGCGGUAAUUCCAGCUCCAAUAGCGUAUAUUAAAGUUGUUGCAGUUAAAAAGCUCGUAGUUGAAUUUCGGGAUCAGUGGGUCGGUCGUGCCACUGGUAUGCACUGGCCCUACUGGUUCCUCCUUCUUGAAGAACUGUAAUGCCAUUAAUUUGGUGUUGCAGGGAAACAAGACUGUUACUUUGAAAAAAUUAGAGUGUUUAAAGCAGGCAAUCGCUUGAAUACAUUAGCAUGGAAUAAUGAAAUAGGACGAUCGAUCCUAUUUUGUUGGUUUCUAGGAUUGACGUAAUGAUUAAUAGGGAUAGUUGGGGGCAUUAGUAUUCAAUUGUCAGAGGUGAAAUUCUUGGAUUUAUUGAAGACUAACUACUGCGAAAGCAUUUGCCAAGGAUGUUUUCAUUAAUCAAGAACGAAAGUUAGGGGAUCGAAGACGAUCAGAUACCGUCGUAGUCUUAA
Molecule: ribosomal RNA, 456 nt
Filed under: uncultured Glomus
Lineage: Eukaryota; Fungi; Glomeromycota; Glomeromycetes; Glomerales; Glomeraceae
Description: SSU rRNA
Rfam family: Eukaryotic small subunit ribosomal RNA
Source: RNAcentral